AGGGAUAUGACUCAGGGGUAGAGUGCUUGUCUAACAUUCAUGUUGCCCUAGGUUCAAUUCCCUGUACUUCCA
Molecule: transfer RNA, 72 nt
Filed under: Ictidomys tridecemlineatus (thirteen-lined ground squirrel)
Lineage: Eukaryota; Metazoa; Chordata; Mammalia; Rodentia; Sciuridae
Description: Spermophilus tridecemlineatus (thirteen-lined ground squirrel) tRNA
Rfam family: tRNA
About the family: Transfer RNA (tRNA) molecules are approximately 80 nucleotides in length. Their secondary structure includes four short double-helical elements and three loops (D, anti-codon, and T loops). Further hydrogen bonds mediate the characteristic L-shaped molecular structure. tRNAs have two regions of fundamental functional importance: the anti-codon, which is responsible for specific mRNA codon recognition, and the 3' end, to which the tRNAs corresponding amino acid is attached (by aminoacyl-tRNA synthetases). tRNAs cope with the degeneracy of the genetic code in two manners: having more than one tRNA (with a specific anti-codon) for a particular amino acid; and 'wobble' base-pairing, i.e. permitting non-standard base-pairing at the 3rd anti-codon position.
Source: Rfam by way of RNAcentral